UACGUAGGGAGCAAGCGUUGUCCGGAAUCAUUGGGCGUAAAGCGCGCGUAGGUGGCCUCAUAAGUCCGCUGUGAAAGCCAAAGGCUCAACCUUUGAAAGCCGGUGGAUACUGUGGGGCUAGAGUACGGAAGAGGCGAGUGGAAUUCCUGGUGUAGCGGUGGAAUGCGCAGAUAUCAGGAGGAACACCAAUAGCGAAGGCAGCUCGCUGGGACGUUACUGACACUGAGGCGCGAAAGCGUGGGGAGCGAACAGG
This 253-nucleotide ribosomal RNA is filed under the name uncultured bacterium. RNAcentral's name for it is "partial 16S ribosomal RNA". It matches the Rfam family "Bacterial small subunit ribosomal RNA", at positions 524 to 776 of the family's 1533-position model. The record is from RNAcentral.